CUACGGGAGGCUCCAGUGAGGAAUAUUGGUCAAUGGGCGAAAGCCUGAACCAGCCAUGCCGCGUGCAGGAAGACUGCCCUAUGGGUUGUAAACUGCUUUUGUACGGGAAGAAAUGACUUUACGUGUAAAGUUUUGACGGUACCGUAUGAAUAAGCACCGGCUAACUCCGUGCCAGCAGCCGCGGUAAUACGGAGGGUGCAAGCGUUAUCCGGAUUUAUUAGGUUUAAAGGGUGUGUAGGCGGAAGAAUAAGUCAGUGGUGAAAUCCUACAGCUUAACUGUAGCACUGCCAUUGAAACUGUUUUUCUUGAGUAUAGUGGAGGUUGGCGGAAUGUGUUGUGUAGCGGUGAAAUGCUUAGAGAUGACACAGAACACCAAUUGCGAAGGCAGCUGACUAAGCUAUAACUGACGCUGAUGCACGAAAGCGUGGGGAUCGAACAGGAUUAGAUACCCUGGUAGUC
Molecule: ribosomal RNA, 459 nt
Filed under: uncultured bacterium
Lineage: Bacteria
Description: partial 16S ribosomal RNA
Rfam family: Bacterial small subunit ribosomal RNA
Source: RNAcentral